CCUGCAGGAAAGGACAUCAACCGAGACUCCGCAAGUAGUGGCGAGCGAACGCGGACCAGGCCAGUGGCAAUGAUGAAUAAAGCGGAACGAUUUGGAAAAGUCGGCCAUAGAGGGUGAUAGCCCCUUACGCGUAGAACAGUCAUUGUCCUUGAGUAGGGCGGGACACGUGAAAUCCUGUCUGAACAUGGGGAGACCACUCUCCAAGCCUAAGUACUCGUGCAUGACCGAUAGCGAACAAGUACCGUGAGGGAAAGGUGAAAAGCACCCCGACGAGGGGAGUGAAAUAGAACCUGAAACCGGAUGCCUACAAACAGUCGGAGCCCGCAAGGGUGACGGCGUACCUUUUGUAUAAUGGGUCAACGACUUAGUGUAACUAGCAAGCUUAAGCCGGUAGGUGUAGGCGCAGCGAAAGCGAGUCUGAAUAGGGCGAUUGAGUUAGUUGCAUUAGACCCGAAACCGAGUGAUCUAGCCAUGAGCAGGCUGAAGGUUGGGUAACACCAACUGGAGGGCCGAACCCGUAUCUGUUGCAAUAGAUUGGGAUGACUUGUGGCUAGGGGUGAAAGGCCAAUCAAACUCGGAAAUAGCUGGUUCUCCGCGAAAUCUAUUUAGGUAGAGCGUCGACCGAAUACCCUCGGGGGUAGAGCACUGGAUGGGCUAUGGGGACUCACCGUCUUACUGAUCCUAACCAAACUCCGAAUACCGAGGAGUACUAGUCGGCAGACACACGGCGGGUGCUAACGUCCGUCGUGAAAAGGGCAACAACCCUGACCUCCAGCUAAGGUCCCCAAGUCAUGGCUAAGUGGGAAAGGAUGUGAGGAUCCCAAAACAACCAGGAUGUUGGCUUAGAAGCAGCCAUCAUUUAAAGAAAGCGUAACAGCUCACUGGUCUAAAUAAGGGUCUUUGCGCCGAAAAUGUAACGGGGCUAAAGCCAUGCACCGAAGCUGAGGAUGUGACAGUUGUAGUGACUGUUGCGUGGUAGCGGAGCGUUCCGUAAGUCUGUGAAGGCGGACCCGUGAGGGCUGCUGGAGAUAUCGGAAGUGCGAAUGUUGACAUGAGUAACGAUAAAGGGAGUGAGAGACUCCCUCGCCGAAAGACCAAGGGUUCCUGCUUAAAGUUAAUCUGAGCAGGGUUAGCCGGCCCCUAAGACGAGGCGGACACGCGUAGUCGAUGGGAACCACGUUAAUAUUCGUGGGCCUGGUGGUAGUGACGGAUCUCGUGUGUUGUACAUUCUUAUUGGAUUGAAUGUGCGGCGAAGAGGUUCCAGGAAAUAGCUCCACCGUAUAGACCGUACCCGAAACCGACACAGGUGGUCAGGUAGAGUAUACCAAGGCGCUUGAGAGAACUAUGUUGAAGGAACUCGGCAAAUUGCACGCGUAACUUCGGAAGAAGCGUGACCCCAUUUUAGGCAACUAUGAUGGGGUGGCACAGACCAGGGGGUAGCGACUGUUUAUCAAAAACACAGGGCUCUGCGAAGUAGCAAUACGACGUAUAGGGUCUGACGCCUGCCCGGUGCUGGAAGGUUAAAGGGAGGGGUGCAAGCUCUGAACUGAAGCCCCAGUAAACGGCGGCCGUAACUAUAACGGUCCUAAGGUAGCGAAAUUCCUUGUCGGGUAAGUUCCGACCUGCACGAAUGGCGUAACGACUUCCCCGCUGUCUCCAACAUAGACUCAGUGAAAUUGAAUUCCCCGUGAAGAUGCGGGGUUCCUGCGGUCAGACGGAAAGACCCCGUGCACCUUUACUAUAGCUUUACACUGGCAUUCGCCAAGGCAUGUGUAGGAUAGGUGGUAGGCUUUGAAGCAGGGACGCCAGUUUCUGUGGAGCCAUCCUUGAAAUACCACCCUUAUCUUCGUGGAUGUCUAACCGCGGUCCGUUAUCCGGAUCCGGGACAGUGUAU
This 1894-nucleotide ribosomal RNA is filed under the name Agrobacterium tumefaciens. Its description in RNAcentral is "bacterial LSU rRNA". It matches the Rfam family "Bacterial large subunit ribosomal RNA", at positions 209 to 2259 of the family's 2925-position model. Lineage: Bacteria; Pseudomonadati; Pseudomonadota; Alphaproteobacteria; Hyphomicrobiales; Rhizobiaceae. The record is from RNAcentral.